ACACGUCUACAUUAGAUACCCGGGUAGUCCCAGCCGUAAACUAUGCGCGUUAGGUGUAUCGGUGACCACGAGUCACCGAGGUGCCGAAGGGAAACCGUGAAACGUGCCGCCUGGGAAGUACGGUCGCAAGGCUGAAACUUAAAGGAAUUGGCGGGGAGCACCACAACAGGUGGAGCCUGCGGUUUAAUUGGACUCAACGCCGGGAAGCUCACCGGAUAGGACAGCAGAAUGAUUGCCGGGCUGAAGACCCUGCAUGACUAGCUG
Molecule: ribosomal RNA, 264 nt
Filed under: uncultured archaeon
Lineage: Archaea
Description: partial 16S ribosomal RNA
Rfam family: Archaeal small subunit ribosomal RNA
Source: RNAcentral